This 476-nucleotide ribosomal RNA is filed under the name Salmonella enterica. RNAcentral describes it as "partial 23S ribosomal RNA". It matches the Rfam family "Bacterial large subunit ribosomal RNA", at positions 1154 to 1604 of the family's 2925-position model. RNAcentral also lists the same sequence under 1 other name. Lineage: Bacteria; Pseudomonadati; Pseudomonadota; Gammaproteobacteria; Enterobacterales; Enterobacteriaceae. The record is from RNAcentral.
CGUAUCACCCAAGACAACUUUACGGAGUUGACGAUUGACGGAGCGAAGCGACGUCAAAGCGUUCAUUAAAGUCGAGUUGGCUUAGGGAUACGUUCGUUGGGUAGGGGAGCGUUCUGUAAGCCUGUGAAGGUGUGUCGUGAGGCAUGCUGGAGGUAUCAGAAGUGCGAAUGCUGACAUAAGUAACGAUAAAGCGGGUGAAAAGCCCGCUCGCCGGAAGACCAAGGGUUCCUGUCCAACGUUAAUCGGGGCAGGGUGAGUCGACCCCUAAGGCGAGGCCGAAAGGCGUAGUCGAUGGGAAACGGGUUAAUAUUCCCGUACUUGGUGUUACUGCGAAGGGGGGACGGAGAAGGCUAUGUUGGCCGGGCGACGGUUGUCCCGGUUUAAGCGUGUAGGUGUGUGUUCCAGGUAAAUCCGGUUCACUUUAACACUGAGGCGUGACGACGAGGCACUACGGUGCUGAAGCAACAAAUGCCCUG